RNAcentral lists this ribosomal RNA (460 nucleotides) under uncultured bacterium. RNAcentral describes it as "partial 16S ribosomal RNA". It matches the Rfam family "Bacterial small subunit ribosomal RNA", at positions 338 to 795 of the family's 1533-position model. The record is from RNAcentral.
CCUACGGGUGGCAGCAGUGAGGAAUAUUGGUCAAUGGGCGGAAGCCUGAACCAGCCAAGUAGCGUGCAGGAUGACGGCCCUACGGGUUGUAAACUGCUUUUAUAAAGGAAUAAAACGAGGCACGUGUGCCUUUUUGCAUGUACUUUAUGAAUAAAGGUAGGCUAACUCCGUGCCAGCAGCCGCGGUAAGACGGAGGAUCCGAGCGUUAUCAGGAUUUGUUGGGCUUAAAGGGAACGUAGAUGGGUUGUUAAGUCAGUUGUGAAAGGCUGGGGCUCAACCGUAAAACUGCAAUUGAUACUGGCAGUCUGGAGUACAGUUGAGGUAGGCGGAAUUCGUGGUGUAGCGGUGAAAUGCGUAGAGAGCACGAAGAACCCCGAUGGCGAAGGCAGCUUACUAAACUGUGACUGACAUUGAGGCUCGAAAGUGUGGGUAUCAAACAGGAUUAGAUACCCGGGUAGUC